UACGUAGGGGGCAAGCGUUGUCCGGAUUUAUUGGGCGUAAAGAGCGUGUAGGCGGCCUUACAGGUCAGCUGUGAAAACUCGAGGCUCAACCUCGAGACGUCGGUUGAAACCGUAUGGCUAGAGUCCGGAAGAGGAGAGUGGAAUUCCCGGUGUAGCGGUGGAAUGCGUAGAGAUCGGGAAGAACAUCAGUGGCGAAGGCGGCCUGCUGGGCUGUUGCUGACGCUGAGGCGCGACAGCGUGGGGAGCAAACAGG
This 253-nucleotide ribosomal RNA is filed under the name uncultured bacterium. RNAcentral's name for it is "partial 16S ribosomal RNA". It matches the Rfam family "Bacterial small subunit ribosomal RNA", at positions 524 to 776 of the family's 1533-position model. The record is from RNAcentral.